Molecule: transfer RNA, 114 nt
Filed under: Nitrospirota bacterium
Lineage: Bacteria; Pseudomonadati; Nitrospirota
Description: Nitrospirae bacterium (sediment metagenome) tRNA-Glu
Source: RNAcentral
AGUCUAAUAGGUUUUUGGAUACCUGAUUCUCAUUCAGGAGAUUGUGGGUUCGACUCCGCUACGGAGUAAUUUUUCAACCCGUUAAUCGGAGUUCGAUUCUCCGCAGAAGCACCA